CUCCUACGGGACGCAGCAGUGGGGAAUAUUGCACAAUGGAGGGAACUCUGAUGCAGCGACGCCGCGUGAGUGAAGAAGUAAUUCGUUAUGUAAAGCUCUAUCAGCAGGGAGGAAAGUGACGGUACCUGAAAAAGAAGCUCCGGCUAAAUACGUGCCAGCAGCCGCGGUAAUACGUAUGGAGCAAGCGUUAUCCGGAUUUACUGGGUGUAAAGGGAGAGUAGGUGGCAGAGCAAGUCCGAAGUGAAAGCCCAAGGCUCAACUAUGGGAAUGCUUUGGAAACUGCUCAGCUAGAGUGCCGGAGGGGC
RNAcentral lists this ribosomal RNA (305 nucleotides) under uncultured bacterium. RNAcentral describes it as "bacterial SSU rRNA". It matches the Rfam family "Bacterial small subunit ribosomal RNA", at positions 336 to 658 of the family's 1533-position model. The record is from RNAcentral.